GUGCCAGCAGCCGCGGUAAUACGGGGGGGGCAAGCGUUGUUCGGAAUUACUGGGCGUAAAGGGCUCGUAGGCGGCUGCCUAAGUCGGACGUGAAAUCCCACGGCUCAACCGUGGAACUGCGUCCGGUACUGGGCGGCUUGAAUCCAAGAGAGGGAUGCGGAAUUCCAGGUGUAGCGGUGAAAUGCGUAGAUAUCUGGAGGAACACCGGUGGCGAAGGCGGCAUCCUGGAUUGGUAUUGACGCUGAUGAGCGAAAGCCAGGGGAGCAAACGGGAUUAGAUACCCGCGUAGUCC
This 292-nucleotide ribosomal RNA is filed under the name uncultured bacterium. RNAcentral's name for it is "partial 16S ribosomal RNA". It matches the Rfam family "Bacterial small subunit ribosomal RNA", at positions 505 to 796 of the family's 1533-position model. The record is from RNAcentral.